Molecule: transfer RNA, 66 nt
Filed under: Mitjaevia shibingensis
Lineage: Eukaryota; Metazoa; Arthropoda; Insecta; Hemiptera; Cicadellidae
Description: tRNA-Leu
Source: RNAcentral
UCUAAUGUGGCAGAGUUAAUGUAGUGAGCUUAAAAUUCAUCAAUAAAUAAAUUUAUUUCUUUAGAA